RNAcentral lists this long non-coding RNA (1383 nucleotides) under Volvox carteri. RNAcentral's name for it is "long non-coding RNA (VCAR_LNC001896)". Lineage: Eukaryota; Viridiplantae; Chlorophyta; Chlorophyceae; Chlamydomonadales; Volvocaceae. The record is from RNAcentral.
UAUUAAUUAUGGACAGGAAGCGCACUCUCAUGGCCCAGGCGGGGAUAUAUGCUUGUAUUCUUGCACAUAUGAGCUAUAGGGUAGCCAUAUAUGCCCGGAAUUUUAUCAACCCACACAGUUACCGCCUGAUCGCAUCGCCAUUUUACGUGCAGCCGCGCCCUAUGGACCUGUGGAACAACUUCAUGGUUGAUUACUGGCCUGAUAACAAGUUUGAGGAUAACUUCCGGCUGACACGCUCGUCUUUUAAGCUCCUUCUGAGCAUAUUAUUUACGUAAUAUUUGACGAGCCCCAAGGUAUUAAAGAAAUAUAUGCUUUUGCGGGGGCGGAUGGACGACUGCCCCAACAGUUGGAGCAAUUUUUAAGCGAAUAGCUGUCUUACACAGAAUGAAUAAGGGAGCCGCCUUGCUGGCACGGCAUCCAACUUCAGGGACGAGUCCCUUACGCCCGAGCGCAAAGUUGCCAUUGCGCUGUGCAAACUCGCAAACCAAGUGAGUUUCCCUACCAUCGAACAUAUGUCUGCAGGAGUGUUUGCAGGAACUGCUUGUAAGGUGCUUCACCAGUUCUGGAGAAGUUUCCUAGGGCAACUACCUUCGCCUCUAUUCAAUCUGAAUUUACUGCGCUGGGUAUGGUGGGAUAUGUUGGAAGUAUCGAUGGAACCCAGACACUGGUUCAACAACCCUCCACCCCAUCUUCACUCUUACAUCAUCUCCUCCAGCCAUGCACCUUCUUCAGUCAUGCGCCUCUCACCCAAAAUGAGCCCCAUCACCCUGCCUGCAGUCUCAAACCCCCCUAAGCCCUGUACCGGUGCAACACUUCAAUCCCGUCAGUCCUCCUUAGCAGCACUUAGCACCACCGGCAUUGCGCACCCGUCAUUGCCCACCCGCCACUGUUUGGCCUGGAACCUCCUUGUCAUGCAAAACACCCGCCCCCUCAGCCACCGGCACCAUGACUGGCUCAGGCUGCAGCAAAGCUGUUGCAAUCUUGCGGAGCUGCUGCUGAGCCUCCACCUCCGAGAUAGCACCUGUCUCCUUCAGCAACUUUAUUAUCUCGAUUUCCUGCUUGUAGGUCGCCACCUGCUGGUCGCGAGCCUUGGCAGCUGCAAGCGAGGCUUCCUGCUGGUUUUCUUGCCCAAAAACGCUGGCAAUGCGUGACAGGGAUUCAGACAUGGACCGCAUCCCUGAUGCCAAGUCAGAAAGGCUCAUGCCCAUGUUCUGCAAGGCCCUGUCCUUUUUAGAUGACAUGUCCUGCAGCGCCGUGACAAACUCCAUGCCUGUCCCACCCGCCUUCCCCAUUGACUGGCGAAGCCGCCCAGUGGUCAGGUCACCUGCAGGAAAAGCACCCACCCCCUCAAACCUUAAGCUAGGGUUACAGAUAAGACAGGGG